Thunnus maccoyii (southern bluefin tuna) is the source of this 1025-nucleotide RNA transcript. It is a transcript of the gene named serum amyloid A-5 protein-like, with no coding region annotated. The record is from RefSeq and is a predicted model, not a curated record. Lineage: Eukaryota; Metazoa; Chordata; Actinopteri; Scombriformes; Scombridae. The transcript has 5 exons.
UCUUUAAUUACUGCAGUUGCACAACCAAGGAAUAUCCUGAGUUUGUUUGGUUGACAUUUCGGGUACCCAGUCAGCUCUCAAAUGCAGUGGAAUUUCCAUCAUGUGGAAGUCCUACAAUCUAGCUCAUUUCAGAACAGAAUAUAAGAAGUGUCAGAUCAGUAGGGUCCUCACUGAAAGAUUUUGCAAGAUCUACUAAGACUCAUUAUCAUCUCUGCAGGAACUUCAGACAUCUAAAACCAUGAAGUUGCUGAUAGCAGGAAUAGUUCUGAUUCUAAUAGUGGAAUCCUACGCCCAGUGGUACAAGUUUCCUGUCGAAGCUGCCCAAGGAGCUCAUGACAUGUGGCGAGCAUACAGAGACAUGAAGGGCGCCAACUGGAAAAACUCUGACAAGUACUUUCAUGCUAGAGGGAACCAUGAUGCUGCCAAGAGAGGAGCUGGAGGCAGAUGGGCUGCUGAAGUUAUAAGUGAUGCCAGAGAAUGGGCACAGGAACGAACGGGUCAUGGUAAUGAGGACGCUGAGGCUGAUCAGAGGGCAAACCGUCAUGGGCGGAAUGGAGGAGAUCCCAACGUUUACAGGCCAAAAGGACUGCCUAAGAAAUAUUGAGGAUGAAAACUGAGAGAAAAAAUGCACAUUUGUGAAGGAUAGAUGUUCAAUGUUCAAUUUAUGGGCUAAGUCUUUUUAUCUACAGGGCCUCACUCUGGCUUGCAGGACCUGACUAUGGCCUCUAAGGUCUCAUAAAAGAGAUGUUGUAGGUUCACGGCGCCAGGUUGGGAGAUAAGGUUGUAACUUUGGAUGGGUAACAACAGCUGCCUGCGUUAUUUUCCAGUUAGAGUUCAUUCUGACACCUAGUGUCGUUGUUCCUCCCCUCCCUGAUGGCGUGACCUGAGCAACUCUAUAAGAAGUGAUUGUUUUCCUGCUUGUGCUAAGUUUUUGGUAUGACUAUAUCCAUGUGUACACUGUGCCAAAGGCUUCUCUGAGCUCAGAUAUUUGUUUUCAAUAAACUCCAUAUAUUCAAGUAAGCAUA